UAGAUACGUGCACCAUGUGUGUGCCAUGGC
Molecule: non-coding RNA, 30 nt
Filed under: Rattus norvegicus (Norway rat)
Lineage: Eukaryota; Metazoa; Chordata; Mammalia; Rodentia; Muridae
Source: RNAcentral